CGGUGUUCAACUGGCGUGUCCGCGGGACGUCCUGCCGGUGGGCUUAGCCCGCAAGGGCGGCCCAACUUCAAAUCCCAUCGCGGUGCUCUUCACUGAGUGUCGAGGUGGGCCGGCACGUUUACUUUGAACAAAUUAGAGUGCUUAAAGCAGGCUAAAACUUCGCCUGAAUACUGUGUGCAUGGAAUAAUGGAAUAGGACCUCGGUUCUAUUUUGUUGGUUUUCGGAACCCCGAGGUAAUGAUUAAUAGGAACGGAUGGGGGCAUUCGUAUUGCGACGUUAGAGGUGAAAUUCUUGGAUCGUCGCAAGACGGACAGAAGCGAAAGCAUUUGCCAAAAACGCUUUCAUUGAUCAAGAACGAAAGUUAGAGGUUCGAAGGCGAUCAGAUACCGCCCUAGUUCUAACCAUAAACGAUGCCAGCUAGCGAUCCGUCGACGUUCCUCCGAUGACUCGACGGGCAGCUUCCGGGAAACCAAAGCUUUUGGGUUCCGGGGGAAGUAUGGUUGCAAAGCUGAAACUUAAAGGAAUUGACGGAAGGGCACCACCAGGAGUGGAGCCUGCGGCUUAAUUUGACUCAACACGGGAAACCUCACCAGGCCUGGACACCGGAAGGAUUGACAGAUUGAGAGCUCUUUCUUGAUUCGGUGGGUGGUGGUGCAUGGCCGUUCUUAGUUGGUGGAGCGAUUUGUCUGGUUAAUUCCGAUAACGAACGAGACUCUAGCCUGCUAACUAGGCGUAUUUUCGACAUCUCAAAGGUCCGUCGUCCCGGCCCUCGGGUCGUGGGCGUGCGCGAUUUUUACUGUCGGCGUACUAUCAAUUCUUCUUAGAGGGACAGGUGGCUUCUAGCCGCACGAGAUUGAGCAAUAACAGGUCUGUGAUG
RNAcentral lists this ribosomal RNA (877 nucleotides) under uncultured eukaryote. RNAcentral describes it as "SSU rRNA". It matches the Rfam family "Eukaryotic small subunit ribosomal RNA", at positions 636 to 1469 of the family's 1831-position model. The record is from RNAcentral.